Molecule: transfer RNA, 73 nt
Filed under: Chloroflexota bacterium
Lineage: Bacteria; Bacillati; Chloroflexota
Also listed under: 1 other name
Description: Chloroflexi bacterium tRNA-Thr
Rfam family: tRNA
About the family: Transfer RNA (tRNA) molecules are approximately 80 nucleotides in length.
Source: RNAcentral
GCCGGCGUAGCUCAGUUGGCAGAGCAACUGACUUGUAAUCAGUAGGUUAUGGGUUCGAGUCCCAUCGCCGGCU